CCCCUAGAUGUUCUGGGCCGCACGCGCGCUACACUGAACAGUUCAACAAGUCUUAACCUUGGCCGAUAGGUCUGGGUAAUCUUUGAACGCUGUUCGUGAUUGGAUAGACCUUUGCAAUUAUGGGUCUUCAACGAGGAAUUCCCAGUAAACGCAAGUCAUCAGCUUGCAUUGAUUACGUCCCUGCCCUUUGUACACACCGCCCGUCGCACCUACCGAUUGAAUGGUCCGGUGAAAUCUCGGGACGGCGGCUUGGUCGCUUGCGUCCGACUGCUGAAACUUGAUUAAACCAUAUCAUUUAGAGGAAGGUGAANUCGUANCA
This 319-nucleotide ribosomal RNA is filed under the name uncultured eukaryote. Its description in RNAcentral is "partial 18S ribosomal RNA". It matches the Rfam family "Eukaryotic small subunit ribosomal RNA", at positions 1470 to 1796 of the family's 1831-position model. The record is from RNAcentral.